RNAcentral lists this ribosomal RNA (253 nucleotides) under uncultured bacterium. RNAcentral describes it as "partial 16S ribosomal RNA". It matches the Rfam family "Bacterial small subunit ribosomal RNA", at positions 524 to 776 of the family's 1533-position model. The record is from RNAcentral.
UACGGAGAGUGCAAACGUUGUUCGGAUUCACUGGGCGUAAAGGGCACGUAGGCGGCUCGGCAAAUCGGUCGUGGAAUCCCGACGCUUACCGUCGGAACGGCGGCCGAAAAUACCGGGCUCGAGGGCGUGAGGGGUCACUGGAACUCCUGGUGAAGCGGUGAAAUGCGUAGAUAUCAGGAGGAACGCCGGAGGCGAAAGCGAGUGACUGGCGCGUUCCUGACGCUGAGGUGCGAAAGUGUGGGGAGCGAACAGG